GACGAACGCUGGCGGCGUGCUUAACACAUGCAAGUCGAGCGGAAAGGCCCUUCGGGGUACUCGAGCGGCGAACGGGUGAGUAACACGUGAGAAACCUGCCCUGGACUUUGGGAUAACCCUCGGAAACGGGGGCUAAUACCGGAUAUGACAUUCGACCGCAUGGUUGUUUGUGGAAAGUUUUUCGGUCUGGGAUGGUCUCGCGGCCUAUCAGCUUGUUGGUGGGGUAAUGGCCUACCAAGGCGACGACGGGUAGCCGGCCUGAGAGGGCGACCGGCCACACUGGGACUGAGACACGGCCCAGACUCCUACGGGAGGCAGCAGUGGGGAAUAUUGCACAAUGGGCGGAAGCCUGAUGCAGCGACGCCGCGUGAGGGAUGACGGCC
RNAcentral lists this ribosomal RNA (383 nucleotides) under uncultured bacterium. RNAcentral describes it as "bacterial SSU rRNA". It matches the Rfam family "Bacterial small subunit ribosomal RNA", at positions 28 to 416 of the family's 1533-position model. The record is from RNAcentral.